Panthera uncia (snow leopard) is the source of this 628-nucleotide long non-coding RNA. RefSeq lists it as uncharacterized. Lineage: Eukaryota; Metazoa; Chordata; Mammalia; Carnivora; Felidae. The transcript is spliced from 3 exons. The record is from RefSeq and is a predicted model, not a curated record.
UCCUUUGUUGACUGUAGGUUCUAUAUCUUCCUAUUCAGAGUGUCUGCUUUGCAAAAUUAAAAACUGAGACGUUUCUGUCAGAUUACCUCUUCCUUUGUAAGGGGAAGGAGAAAUGUCGCCAAAUGUUCACUUCGUACUGAGACAACUAAAUAAUUUUGGCUUUGUGAGGAAGUAACUCCAUCGAAAGUGGGGGCUCGACUCAAACACUUGCAUAGCAUGUUCUACUACGCCAAGGAUAACGACUGAAAAAACAUGAAUUAUCAUCCGAUGAAGUAUAUCACUAGUUUCUGCAAAAAACUGGUCAAAACCCCAACACUUUUCCUGAUCUGCCUCAAGGAUGUUUGCAAGAACAGGGUUACCGGGAAGGGCUACCGGUAUUUAGUGGGCAGAGACUAGACGGGAAAGACAUCCUGCUGACUAGGGAACAGUUCUGAAAACUAAGCUUCUGAUAUCCAGCAUGACUUCUGAAUAUUCUGCCAGACAUUUGUGGAGGUGGUAAGUCUAUUACUCCAUCUUAUAAAUAAAUGUAAAAUAUUUUUGUACACAAAGUAUUUUUGUAGCUACAAGAAUGUACCUUUAUGUAAAUCUAUUUUGUUUAGUUACAAAAUACUAAGAAUUAUUCACUGGU